GACAAGACUCUUGCCUAAAGAGCCCAUCUGGAAGACAGGUGCUGUAGUUUGUGAACAGUUCGUUCUCCUACCUGUCCCCACCAUGUUGUGCCGCCUCCCACAGGCCCAGGCAAUGGGGCCAAUAGAUUACGGCUGUUGGAGGACCAGACUCUCCAAAACUUUGCAAUAUUUCGUGUCAUGGAACUUUGGCAAAUUCCACCAGCACUCAUGAGAGAAUGAAAUGAAGGAGGAAGCAAAUGACAGAAAGUUCCAGCAAAGCUUGCCUUUUGUAAACAUGAAAUUUUCCUUUAAACUGGCUGAUCAGAUUACCAAAAUAAAUAUACAUAACUUUUGGACUGGAGAUCUUAGAAAUGUUUGAGA
Fukomys damarensis (Damara mole-rat) is the source of this 360-nucleotide long non-coding RNA. RefSeq lists it as uncharacterized. The record is from RefSeq and is a predicted model, not a curated record. The transcript is spliced from 4 exons. Lineage: Eukaryota; Metazoa; Chordata; Mammalia; Rodentia; Bathyergidae.